GACGAACGCUGGCGGCGUGCUUAACACAUGCAAGUCGAACGGAAAGGCCCUGCUUUUGUGGGGUGCUCGAGUGGCGAACGGGUGAGUAACACGUGAGUAACCUGCCCUUGACUUUGGGAUAACUUCAGGAAACUGGGGCUAAUACCGGAUAGGAGCUCCUGCUGCAUGGUGGGGGUUGGAAAGUUUCGGCGGUUGGGGAUGGACUCGCGGCUUAUCAGCUUGUUGGUGGGGUAGUGGCUUACCAAGGCUUUGACGGGUAGCCGGCCUGAGAGGGUGACCGGCCACCUUGGGACUGCGAUACGGCCCAGACUCCUACGGGAGGCAGCAGUGGGGAAUAUUGCACAAUGGGCGGAAGCCUGAUGCAGCAACGCCGCGUGCGGGAUGACGGCCUUCGGGUUGUAAACCGCUUUCGACUGUGCCGAAGCGUGAGUGACGGUAAUGGGUAAAGAAGCACCGGCUAACUACGUG
RNAcentral lists this ribosomal RNA (468 nucleotides) under uncultured bacterium. Its description in RNAcentral is "partial 16S ribosomal RNA". It matches the Rfam family "Bacterial small subunit ribosomal RNA", at positions 28 to 507 of the family's 1533-position model. The record is from RNAcentral.